GGGUUGUGAGGUUAAGCGACUAAGCGUACACGGUGGAUGCCCUGGCAGUCAGAGGCGAUGAAGGACGUGCUAAUCUGCGAUAAGCGUCGGUAAGGUGAUAUGAACCGUUAUAACCGGCGAUUUCCGAAUGGGGAAACCCAGUGUGUUUCGACACACUAUCAUUAACUGAAUCCAUAGGUUAAUGAGGCGAACCGGGGGAACUGAAACAUCUAAGUACCCCGAGGAAAAGAAAUCAACCGAGAUUCCCCCAGUAGCGGCGAGCGAACGGGGAGCAGCCCAGAGCCUGAAUCAGUGUGUGUGUUAGUGGAAGCGUCUGGAAAGGCGCGCGAUACAGGGUGACAGCCCCGUACACAAAAAUGCACAUACUGUGAGCUCGAUGAGUAGGGCGGGACACGUGGUAUCCUGUCUGAAUAUGGGGGGACCAUCCUCCAAGGCUAAAUACUCCUGACUGACCGAUAGUGAACCAGUACCGUGAGGGAAAGGCGAAAAGAACCCCGGCGAGGGGAGUGAAAAAGAACCUGAAACCGUGUACGUACAAGCAGUGGGAGCACGCUUAGGCGUGUGACUGCGUACCUUUUGUAUAAUGGGUCAGCGACUUAUAUUCUGUAGCAAGGUUAACCGAAUAGGGGAGCCGAAGGGAAACCGAGUCUUAACUGGGCGUUAAGUUGCAGGGUAUAGACCCGAAACCCGGUGAUCUAGCCAUGGGCAGGUUGAAGGUUGGGUAACACUAACUGGAGGACCGAACCGACUAAUGUUGAAAAAUUAGCGGAUGACUUGUGGCUGGGGGUGAAAGGCCAAUCAAACCGGGAGAUAGCUGGUUCUCCCCGAAAGCUAUUUAGGUAGCGCCUCGUGAAUUCAUCUCCGGGGGUAGAGCACUGUUUCGGCAAGGGGGUCAUCCCGACUUACCAACCCGAUGCAAACUGCGAAUACCGGAGAAUGUUAUCACGGGAGACACACGGCGGGUGCUAACGUCCGUCGUGAAGAGGGAAACAACCCAGACCGCCAGCUAAGGUCCCAAAGUCAUGGUUAAGUGGGAAACGAUGUGGGAAGGCCCAGACAGCCAGGAUGUUGGCUUAGAAGCAGCCAUCAUUUAAAGAAAGCGUAAUAGCUCACUGGUCGAGUCGGCCUGCGCGGAAGAUGUAACGGGGCUAAACCAUGCACCGAAGCUGCGGCAGCGACGCUUAUGCGUUGUUGGGUAGGGGAGCGUUCUGUAAGCCUGUGAAGGUGUACUGUGAGGUAUGCUGGAGGUAUCAGAAGUGCGAAUGCUGACAUAAGUAACGAUAAAGCGGGUGAAAAGCCCGCUCGCCGGAAGACCAAGGGUUCCUGUCCAACGUUAAUCGGGGCAGGGUGAGUCGACCCCUAAGGCGAGGCCGAAAGGCGUAGUCGAUGGGAAACAGGUUAAUAUUCCUGUACUUGGUGUUACUGCGAAGGGGGGACGGAGAAGGCUAUGUUGGCCGGGCGACGGUUGUCCCGGUUUAAGCGUGUAGGCUGGUUUUCCAGGCAAAUCCGGAAAAUCAAGGCUGAGGCGUGAUGACGAGGCACUACGGUGCUGAAGCAACAAAUGCCCUGCUUCCAGGAAAAGCCUCUAAGCAUCAGGUAACAUCAAAUCGUACCCCAAACCGACACAGGUGGUCAGGUAGAGAAUACCAAGGCGCUUGAGAGAACUCGGGUGAAGGAACUAGGCAAAAUGGUGCCGUAACUUCGGGAGAAGGCACGCUGAUAUGUAGGUGAAGUCCCUCGCGGAUGGAGCUGAAAUCAGUCGAAGAUACCAGCUGGCUGCAACUGUUUAUUAAAAACACAGCACUGUGCAAACACGAAAGUGGACGUAUACGGUGUGACGCCUGCCCGGUGCCGGAAGGUUAAUUGAUGGGGUUAGCGCAAGCGAAGCUCUUGAUCGAAGCCCCGGUAAACGGCGGCCGUAACUAUAACGGUCCUAAGGUAGCGAAAUUCCUUGUCGGGUAAGUUCCGACCUGCACGAAUGGCGUAAUGAUGGCCAGGCUGUCUCCACCCGAGACUCAGUGAAAUUGAACUCGCUGUGAAGAUGCAGUGUACCCGCGGCAAGACGGAAAGACCCCGUGAACCUUUACUAUAGCUUGACACUGAACAUUGAGCCUUGAUGUGUAGGAUAGGUGGGAGGCUUUGAAGUGUGGACGCCAGUCUGCAUGGAGCCGACCUUGAAAUACCACCCUUUAAUGUUUGAUGUUCUAACGUUGACCCGUAAUCCGGGUUGCGGACAGUGUCUGGUGGGUAGUUUGACUGGGGCGGUCUCCUCCUAAAGAGUAACGGAGGAGCACGAAGGUUGGCUAAUCCUGGUCGGACAUCAGGAGGUUAGUGCAAUGGCAUAAGCCAGCUUGACUGCGAGCGUGACGGCGCGAGCAGGUGCGAAAGCAGGUCAUAGUGAUCCGGUGGUUCUGAAUGGAAGGGCCAUCGCUCAACGGAUAAAAGGUACUCCGGGGAUAACAGGCUGAUACCGCCCAAGAGUUCAUAUCGACGGCGGUGUUUGGCACCUCGAUGUCGGCUCAUCACAUCCUGGGGCUGAAGUAGGUCCCAAGGGUAUGGCUGUUCGCCAUUUAAAGUGGUACGCGAGCUGGGUUUAGAACGUCGUGAGACAGUUCGGUCCCUAUCUGCCGUGGGCGCUGGAGAACUGAGGGGGGCUGCUCCUAGUACGAGAGGACCGGAGUGGACGCAUCACUGGUGUUCGGGUUGUCAUGCCAAUGGCACUGCCCGGUAGCUAAAUGCGGAAGAGAUAAGUGCUGAAAGCAUCUAAGCACGAAACUUGCCCCGAGAUGAGUUCUCCCUGACUCCUUGAGAGUCCUGAAGGAACGUUGAAGACGACGACGUUGAUAGGCCGGGUGUGUAAGCGCAGCGAUGCGUUGAGCUAACCGGUACUAAUGAACCGUGAGGCUUAACCUUACAACGCCGAAG
RNAcentral lists this ribosomal RNA (2925 nucleotides) under Escherichia coli. RNAcentral describes it as "bacterial LSU rRNA". It matches the Rfam family "Bacterial large subunit ribosomal RNA". The record is from RNAcentral. Lineage: Bacteria; Pseudomonadati; Pseudomonadota; Gammaproteobacteria; Enterobacterales; Enterobacteriaceae.